CGCUGGCGGCGUGCCUAAUACAUGCAAGUCGAGCGAGCAGAACCAGCAGAUUUACUUCGGUAAUGACGCUGGGGACGCGAGCGGCGGAUGGGUGAGUAACACGUGGGGAACCUGCCCCAUAGUCUGGGAUACCACUUGGAAACAGGUGCUAAUACCGGAUAAGAAAGCAGAUCGCAUGAUCAGCUUAUAAAAGGCGGCGUAAGCUGUCGCUAUGGGAUGGCCCCGCGGUGCAUUAGCUAGUUGGUAAGGCAACGGCUUACCAAGGCAAUGAUGCAUAGCCGAGUUGAGAGACUGAACGGCCACAUUGGGACUGAGACACGGCCCAAACUCCUACGGGAGGCAGCAGUAGGGAAUCUUCCACAAUGGACGCAAGUCUGAUGGAGCAACGCCGCGUGAGUGAAGAAGGUUUUCGGAUCGUAAAGCUCUGUUGUUGGUGAAGAAGGAUAGAGGCAGUAACUGGCCUUUAUUUGACGGUAAUCAACCAGAAAGUCACGGCUAACUACGUGCCAGCAGCCGCGGUAAUACGUAGGUGGCAAGCGUUGUCCGGAUUUAUUGGGCGUAAAGCGAGCGCAGGCGGAAGAAUAAGUCUGAUGUGAAAGCCCUCGGCUUAACCGAGGAAUUGCAUCGGAAACUGUUUUUCUUGAGUGCAGAAGAGGAGAGUGGAACUCCAUGUGUAGCGGUGGAAUGCGUAGAUAUAUGGAAGAACACCAGUGGCGAAGGCGGCUCUCUGGUCUGCAACUGACGCUGAGGCUCGAAAGCAUGGGUAGCGAACAGGAUUAGAUACCCUGGUAGUCCAUGCCGUAAACGAUGAGUGCUAAGUGUUGGGAGGUUUCCGCCUCUCAGUGCUGCAGCUAACGCAUUAAGCACUCCGCCUGGGGAGUACGACCGCAAGGUUGAAACUCAAAGGAAUUGACGGGGGCCCGCACAAGCGGUGGAGCAUGUGGUUUAAUUCGAAGCAACGCGAAGAACCUUACCAGGUCUUGACAUCUAGUGCCAUCCUAAGAGAUUAGGAGUUCCCUUCGGGGACGCUAAGACAGGUGGUGCAUGGCUGUCGUCAGCUCGUGUCGUGAGAUGUUGGGUUAAGUCCCGCAACGAGCGCAACCCUUGUUAUUAGUUGCCAGCAUUAAGUUGGGCACUCUAAUGAGACUGCCGGUGACAAACCGGAGGAAGGUGGGGAUGACGUCAAGUCAUCAUGCCCCUUAUGACCUGGGCUACACACGUGCUACAAUGGACAGUACAACGAGAAGCGAGCCUGCGAAGGCAAGCGAAUCUCUGAAAGCUGUUCUCAGUUCGGACUGCAGUCUGCAACUCGACUGCACGAAGCUGGAAUCGCUAGUAAUCGCGGAUCAGAACGCCGCGGUGAAUACGUUCCCGGGCCUUGUACACACCGCCCGUCACACCAUGGAAGUCUGCAAUGCCCAAAGCCGGUGGCCUAACCUUCGGGAAGGAGCCGUCUAAGGCAGGGCAGAUGACUGGG
This 1477-nucleotide ribosomal RNA is filed under the name Lactobacillus helveticus. Its description in RNAcentral is "bacterial SSU rRNA". It matches the Rfam family "Bacterial small subunit ribosomal RNA". Lineage: Bacteria; Bacillati; Bacillota; Bacilli; Lactobacillales; Lactobacillaceae. The record is from RNAcentral.